GAGAGCAAGAACAGAAAGUGAGAUAUGCACUAUAUGAAUCUUUCGAAUUAUCCAAUAUUUCUUCCUCAGGGGCGAAGUGAGAAGGUGCUUGUGAAAACUUAGAUGACAAAGGGUCCGCUCAGUGGUUUCCGUUCAGCUGGCCAAGCUCCCUGUACUUGUUAGAAUAGUAGGUUUAGCUGUCAUCAUUUUCUAUUGUACCUUCAGCAUUCAACAUUUAUUUCAUUGCUAUUCAAAGCUCAGUUGAACAUUUGAAAAAAGAACAGGUUUGAAUGUGGGCGAUCUUUCUCUUCUUUCCUCUUUUGUCUUUUUCUUCCACUUAGAUAGUAAAUGCCUGAUUGGCUACCAUGCAGUCCUUGUUAAAAUCCCCUAGCUAUGUGGUAAUGGUGUGUAGAUUGUUGUUACAUUGUCCAUAACGAUGAAUCUCAUAUCUGAC
This 433-nucleotide unclassified non-coding RNA is filed under the name Hevea brasiliensis (rubber tree). The record is from RNAcentral. Lineage: Eukaryota; Viridiplantae; Streptophyta; Magnoliopsida; Malpighiales; Euphorbiaceae.